ACUCAAAUAGUUUAAUAAAAAUGUUAGCUUGUGGUGCUUAAGAUGUAGUUUAUACUUUGGGUA
RNAcentral lists this transfer RNA (63 nucleotides) under Daldorfia horrida. RNAcentral's name for it is "tRNA-His". It matches the Rfam family "tRNA". Rfam says of the family: Transfer RNA (tRNA) molecules are approximately 80 nucleotides in length. Lineage: Eukaryota; Metazoa; Arthropoda; Malacostraca; Decapoda; Parthenopidae. The record is from RNAcentral.